GUAAACUGCGAUUCAAAAAGCCAGGUGGGAAGCCCUGUAGUAGGGACUCUGGCUUUGUCCCUGUUUCCCCCUUUUCUUCCUCUUCACCCACUAAAACCCUGUUUUACUCACGGUUCAAAUUGUUUGGCAGCCUGAAUUUUCAUGGCCAUGGGACAAAGAACCCCGUCUUUAGCUGAAUUAAGGAAAAGUUCUGCAACAUUUUUGACGUGCAACUUGGGGGCUCAAGCGGAGAAGCGAAGCAGAGCCCCUGGAAAACUCACAUAUGUGUCAACAAUAGUCCUUGAUGCCCCUGUAACAAAACUUGAGCAAGGCCUGGUGAUGAAGAGAUACAAGAUUGUCACCCAAGGAUUUGAUUAUACCUCUGUUGAAAGUUAAUGCACACUCAACCGAAUAUGGCAAUUGGUACUCUCAAUUCUAUAUUCUCAACAAUUACAGUGAAGAUACAAGUAGAAUACAAUCACUGCCACAUUUUUUGAAAUUCUGUGUAAACUGUAAUAUUCUGUCAACAUUAAUGACAUUUGAAGUGUCCUGUCAAAACAAUUGCAGCUACUUUAUGUAUAAAACAUAUUAAAUAGGCUCAUCCAACUUGCAUUCUUUAUUAAGCUUAUUUUCAUAUUUUUUCCUAUGGAUGAACUUAAAAAUAAUUUUGUUUCUUAAUUAAGAUUCUAUGCAUGAAGAUGCUGAAUAAUUUAAGACAAUUGUUCAUUCAAAUAGUUGCUAAUUACACCCUCCUGGCAUAGUUAUUGUAUUAUUACUACAUUUAGGAAUAAUAUGCUGUACUACUUGGACUUGAAAAUGUUUCUGACAUUUUAAUGAACACACUACUUAGUUAUAUUUUACAAGGGUUUUCAGUGAACCACAGAGGAUUAAAAAAUGUCAUUCAAGGGUUGUAGAUAAUUAAACUGACUGAAUAUAAGAAGCCUCAUAUGGAAGUGAAAAUUAUGUAUGAAUUUUGUUGAGCUGGAAAUGUGUUUUACUAAAUGACUUCAGAUUUGUUACUUUUAAAUACAAGAUGAAGGGAAUCAAGGGGAUACUUUCUUCUCACCUCAAUUUGUUCCAUUUGCAUAAGCUAUUUUAUCUUUCAAUAUCCCUUUUGAUAUUUCAUUUUGGCCCUUGAAUACACUAAAGAUUAUUUAAAAUAAAUAAAUGUUGACUUU
This 1157-nucleotide long non-coding RNA is filed under the name Homo sapiens (human). RNAcentral's name for it is "long intergenic non-protein coding RNA 1036". The record is from RNAcentral. Lineage: Eukaryota; Metazoa; Chordata; Mammalia; Primates; Hominidae.